This 59-nucleotide transfer RNA is filed under the name Ixodes rubicundus. Its description in RNAcentral is "tRNA-Ser". The record is from RNAcentral. Lineage: Eukaryota; Metazoa; Arthropoda; Arachnida; Ixodida; Ixodidae.
AAAGAUUAAUAUAAUAGACUUCUAAUCUAAAUUUAAUGAUUUAAUUCAUUUAAUCUUUU